RNAcentral lists this ribosomal RNA (548 nucleotides) under uncultured Bifidobacterium sp. Its description in RNAcentral is "bacterial SSU rRNA". It matches the Rfam family "Bacterial small subunit ribosomal RNA", at positions 147 to 710 of the family's 1533-position model. The record is from RNAcentral. Lineage: Bacteria; Bacillati; Actinomycetota; Actinomycetes; Bifidobacteriales; Bifidobacteriaceae.
CUCCUGGAAACGGGUGGUAAUGCCGGAUGCUCCACAUGAACACAUGUGAUUGUGGGAAAGAUUUAUCGGUAUGGGAUGGGGUCGCGUCCUAUCAGGUAGUUGGUGGGGUAAUGGCCUACCAAGCCUACGACGGGUAGCCGGCCUGAGAGGGCGACCGGCCACAUUGGGACUGAGAUACGGCCCAGACUCCUACGGGAGGCAGCAGUGGGGAAUAUUGCACAAUGGGCGCAAGCCUGAUGCAGCGACGCCGCGUGCGGGAUGACGGCCUUCGGGUUGUAAACCGCUUUUGUUAGGGAGCAAGCGUAAGUGAGUGUACCUUUCGAAUAAGCACCGGCUAACUACGUGCCAGCAGCCGCGGUAAUACGUAGGGUGCAAGCGUUACCCGGAAUUAUUGGGCGUAAAGAGCUCGUAGGCGGUUUGUCGCGUCUGGUGUGAAAGUCCAUCGCUUAACGGUGGAUCUGCGCCGGGUACGGGCAGGCUAGAGUGUGGUAGGGGAGACUGGAAUUCCCGGUGUAACGGUGGAAUGUGUAGAUAUCGGGAAGAACACC